GUGCCAGCAGCCGCGGUAAGACGUAGGGGUCAAGCGUUGUCCGGAUUUAUUGGGCGUAAAGAGCUCGUAGGCGGUUCAACAAGUCGGUCAUAAAAGUUUAGGGCUCAACCCUAAAAUGUCGAUCGAUACUGUUGUGACUAGGAUACGGUAGAGGUGAAUGGAAUUCCGAGUGUAGCGGUGAAAUGCGUAGAUAUUCGGAGGAACACCAAUUGCGAAGGCAGUUCACUGGACCGUGAUCGACGCUGAGGAGCGAAAGCUAGGGGAGCAAACAGGAUUAGAUA
Molecule: ribosomal RNA, 281 nt
Filed under: uncultured bacterium
Lineage: Bacteria
Description: partial 16S ribosomal RNA
Rfam family: Bacterial small subunit ribosomal RNA
Source: RNAcentral